UCACUUUGUCUUUAUGGCAAAUGUGAGAUGCAGUGUAUGGAAUGUCAAAUUUCUAGUAUGAGAAAUUAACGAUUUAAGUCCUUCUUAAAUGAGGCCAUUUACCCAUAGAGGGUGCCAGGCCCGUAUAACGUUAAUGAUUACUAGAUGGCAUUUCCAAAGAGUCGUGUUGCUUGAUAGUGCAGCACUAAGUGGGUGGUAAACUCCAUCUAAAACUAAAUAUAACCAUGAGACCGAUAGUAAACAAGUACCGUGAGGGAAAGUUGAAAAGAACUCUGAAUAGAGAGUUAAAUAGUACGUGAAACUGCUUAGAGGUUAAGCCCGAUGAACCUGAAUAUCCAUUAUAGAAAAUUCAUCAUUAUGAUUUUAAUAUUUAUAAUAUUAUAAUAAUGGUGUGCAUUUUUUCUAUAACGGACAUUGUAAUCUAUUAACAUAAAUAUAUUUAUCAUAAGAUCAAUGAUGCGUAAGUUUAUUCAAAUUAUUUUGCUUGCAAUUUAACAUAGAAUAAAUGCUCUUGAUUUGAUAAAGUGUUGAUAGAUUUAUUGUAUAUAGUGCUUAAAUAUUUAUAUUUUAUAAUAGCAUAUUAAUCAUUGAUUUUUAUGUUUAUUAUAUGCACUUAUAUGAUUAACAAUGCGAAAGAUUCAGGAUACCUUCGGGACCCGUCUUGAAACACGGACCAAGGAGUCUAACAUAUUUGCAAGUUAUUGGGUAUCAAAACCUAAUAGCGAAAUUAACAUAACUUUAAUGGGAUUAGUUUUUAGAUUAUUUAUAGUCUAUUAAUUCAAUCCCGGGGCGUUCUAUAUAGUUAUGUAUAAUAAUAUUUAUAUUAUUUAUACCUCUAACUAGAGCGUACCUUGAGCAUAUAUGCUGUGACCCGAAAGAUGGUGAACUAUACUUGAUCAGGUUGAAGUCAGGGGAAACCCUGAUGGAAGACCGAAACAGUUCUGACGUGCAAAUCGAUUGUCAGA
Molecule: ribosomal RNA, 965 nt
Filed under: Sarcophaga dux
Lineage: Eukaryota; Metazoa; Arthropoda; Insecta; Diptera; Sarcophagidae
Description: eukaryotic LSU rRNA
Rfam family: Eukaryotic large subunit ribosomal RNA
Source: RNAcentral